UAGAGAGUUAUUAGACAACAGAAGGAAUCAAAAGAAAAAGAGAGGCUCAGAUGCGCGAUUUUGUCAUCCAUUUAACAGACAAGGUGAGGACCCAAGUUCUCACUGACUGCACAAUUCAUCUUCACAGCACUCCAUGUUGGACCAGCCGGAAACUAAACCCGCAGCCGGGAAUUGAACCCGGGUCUGUACAGUGGCAGGGUACUAUUCUACCUAAAAACUUGCAGCCAUAAUAAUUAAAAGUCAUAUGGAUGUAAUUCUUGUUACCGGUGAAAAUGUAUCAAAAAAUUAUAGGCCUUCUAGUUGUUUAAAACCCAACAAUUUCUAUUUUGCUUAAUUAUAAGAAAAAGUAUCACAUCCAAACUAUUUGAUAUCAAUAAAUUGAAAAUGUAAUGUUCAGUUGUCCGUUUUUAGAAUGGUAUGUUAUUCAUUGAUCCUCAAUCUCGAAACUUUCAUAUCUAGGGUUAUGUCUUUCAUAAGCUAGAGUUGUGUUAUGUCAUGUCUAAUCACUCCCCCCCCCCCCUCUCUUUCUUUCUCGAUCUACCUCUGUCUCUCCUAAUUCAUGUUACCGUCAAGCUCUCACACCUCCUCUUCACAUGCCCAACUUUUCCAUGCCUAAAAUACAAAUGUUUAUAUAUGCCAAUAUUAGAGAGGUAUCUGUUCUCCAUCCAAUGGCAGAGCUAAACAAAGGGAAGGAAAUUUCCUCCACUGAAAAUUUAUAUUGCUUAAACAUUUUUUUAAAAUAUUUUAAUUCUAUAUAAAUUGUUGAAUCCCUUCGAUAAAAGGAAAAAAUUUAGAGUGAAAUAGCAUAGAGACGUCAAAAAUAACUUUCAGAUCACAUAUUUAAAUCCCACACGUGACAUUCUUUUUUCUUUUUCGUUCUCUUGGCGUAAAUUCCUAAUUCUGCCACUGAUCCUUACAAUUAUAUAAAAUGAUCCUCUUAAAUUUUUCUAUAACAGAAUGUUAGAUUUUUUAGCAUUGGAGAGCUCUAUGUUCAACAGAAUUGAGAAUUAAACUAACUAGUAUAAAUUAUCUAUUCUCUCAGAACCCUUUAUAUUAAUACCAAAAUAUUAUAUUAAUGGGAUUGAAUUAGUUAGAUAUAAUGUGUAAUAUUGCUAGUUAAAAUAAGCUUCUUCAAUCUUCUAAUCCCAGUAUAUUAACCUUCAUAAUUAAGCUUUUCACUGCUCUUUGAUCAGUAUUAUAUUAAUGGGAUUGAAUUAGUUUAAUAUAAAAUCAGAGAAAAGAUUAAUUAGUUAUUUUGGGAGAAAGGUUCACCACGGUAACUUGCUAUCGGGACCUUCAAGUGUCGCCUAGGUGUUGCAUGAUUUUAGUAUUCCAUUUUUCUUUAUUAUUAACAAAGUUUCAUGUCCAAAUUAUUUGAUAUCAAUGAAUUGAAAAUGUAUGUUAUUCAUUGAAAAAUUAAUUGCCUUUAACAUAUACAUAGUACAUGUAGAGGUGCCCUCGACACACUCAAAUCCUUGGUCCGCCUAUUAUGUCCAAGAAUUUCAUUUUCAUUACAUUAAUGAUAUCUAUAAAUUGAUGAAAAUGUAACUUAUUAUUUCAGUUCUUGAUAUAAAAUUAAAUUACUACAGAAGGACAAAUGAAGGAAAUUACUGGCCUAGGCUCACAUCUAUUGACUCUUUGGUAUUUGUCCAUGGGGUAUUUCAUUGGCUUAUUAGUUCGUUAAAGAAAUAUUUUGUAAUGUCAUUUAGUAUUUCAGAUGAGGUGUACAGAGAAAUACCGUUGCCAGAGCAACUCUACUCAAAUUUCUCCAAGUUGUGGGGACGAGGUGUUUCAGAAUUGGGAGGAAUGCUAUGUGCUUAUUCUCAUUGUGUGUCUGGUACAUAGGACGUUUUUAAGUUUUGGUAAUGAAAGACUAUGUCAACGAAUCUUGGACUGAAUUGUUUACUAUACAAGGUAUCGAUCUUCAAUCAGCCAUAACAAAAUAUAUGUUUUCAGAUGGAGAAGUGCUACUCUGUUGCAGAUGUUUGGCUUGUCGUUUUUAUGUCUUUAGGAUGUCCAAAGGAUUAUGGCCUCAAUCUGAUGUCAUUCAGAAAGGAUUCGUUUAUAUAUACAGAAAGUUUGAUCUUCCCAAAACUAAUUAGUUAAUAUUUGCUUAUGUAUGAUGGAGUUGCACUACUUCAUUGACAUAGUGCACCCCACCAAUUGUAGUUCUAAGCUUUUUUGCAUAAAUUUACUCUUUGAUUAGAUCUCAUGAUUUUUCAUUUUAAAAUCUCUGGAAGUUAAGUAUUGAGAUUUGCAUUUAGAAUAUUAAUCAUCAUAUUGAAGAGCAUUAUUUCAUUAAUAUUAUCUUAAAUUAUAAUCACGUGUUGCCUUGGUGUUGCACUACUAGAAGUGAUUAAUUGUUAGGGAUAGAUAGACAGGUAAAAUAAGUAAAUAACAAUAGCAUUCCAAAAACUUUAAUUAAUGGAGAGACCUCAAUCAUCCUACUACUAGGUGGUUACAUUUUACAUGCUUUCAAUAUUAAAGAAAGUAUUUUUUUUUCUUGUUUUGUGUCUUAUUUUGGAGGUUAUGAACCUUAGGAAUAGGUUGAGGCUUGAGCAUCUACACCAUUAACUGUUAGGUUGAGGGUUCGAGUCAUGUUGGAGGGUAAGUGAGAUCACUAUUGAUCUUCCUAAGGUGGGGUGGGGAAAAGAAUUAACUAUAUAUAAACAGCUGAAGGAGGUUCAGAUGAUUCCCCUAAGGCCUAGCUACCUAGCUCCACCCCUAGCUUAAGCUUUUAUGGACAAUUAUUUAAAUUCAUAAAUUCACUACAAAACAAAAACGCCUUUAAAAAAAAUAAUCUUCUCUACAUAGGAUAUAAUCUUUCUUUCACUUGGACGAGCAAUAAGUAUGUCAAGAGCUUCUUGUUUGGUUAACAACUAACGCUACACUACAUUUAUAACAGGAAAAAAUAACAAAAAAAAAUUGAUCAAACAAAAAGCAAGGGAUAAAAGGAGAAACUUACACAACUACACUAUAAAUGCAUAGACACAAAGAGGGUUAAAAAAGAAAGGUUAAAUAGAGAAGAAAGUCCUUUAAGGAAUCAAAGUUAAAUCGAAGUCUAGCCCUGCCCUCCUAGGUAGGGUUGUUCAUGGUUAUGGUUAAAAAACAAAUUGAUCCGCAAUCCGAAUCAAAUCGAUUAAAAUAACUGAUAUUUGAUUUGGUUUGUUUAGAUUUAGUUUUUAAAUUUUGAAAACCAAUACUAUUUAGUUUGAUUUUGGUUUUACUAAAAAAGAACCGCAAAAAUAACAAAAUCGAACCGAGAAAUUAGUUAAUGGAAAGGCUUUUGGUUUCUUUCGUUCGUCCAGAGGUUUAAAGCAAGGAGACCCAUUGUCUCCAACACUAUUUAUAAUAGCAGCGGAGGUCUUAGCAAGGGGACUAAACAGCCUACAUGAGAAGGCUGAGUUCAGGGGCUAUGGGAUGCCUAAAUGGAUCCCCCCCAAUAAAUCAGCUGUCAUACGCAGAUGACACUAUCCUAUUAUGCUCGGGGGACUAGAAAUCAAUUAGUUUGAUGAUGGGUGUGCUAAGGAGAUAUGAAUUGAUAUCAGGCCAGAUGAUAAACCUAAACAAAAGUUUCUAUUACCUUCAUGAUAAUACACCACUCAUCGUGGGGAUGAGAUUAAGGAGGUUAACUGGUAUAAGACAGGGCAACUUCCCUUUCACUUACCUGGGAUGCACGGUCUUUUAUGGCAGAAGGAAGAGAAUAUUCUUUGAAGAGUUAGUCAAGAAGGUUAAAAAUAGACCUCUGAUAUGGUAAAUCAAAUGGCUAUCUUAUGGGGGGAAGUACAUACUAAUAGCUAAUGUCUUACAGUCUAUACCUAUAUACUUGCUAUCAUCUAUGAAUCCACCCAAGAAAACUAUUGAACAAUUACAUCAGCUAAUUGCAGGUUUUUUCUGGAGUAAAAUAGGGAGAGAGAAAGGGAAACACUGGAUAGCAUGGGAUGAGAUGUGAUUUCCAAAGGAAGGAGUUGUUGGAUUUAGAUCAUUGCAUGUAGUUACAAAAUCACUCUUUGGAAAGUUGUGGCGGACUUUCAAAACAUCAAAAUCACUGUGGAGUACAUUCAUGUGGAAUAAAUAUUGUAAAAAACAACACCCUGUUAUGGCUAAGGGGACUGGGGCCUCUCAUGCAUCGAGGAAAAUGAUAGAAAUUAGGGAGGAAGUGGAGCAUGAUAUCUGGUGGCAAAUUAAAUCAGGAGAGCAAGUUUCUGGUUUGAUAAUUGGACAAAGCAAGGAGCAUUAUACUAUAUACAAGAUCACAAUGGAGAGGAAGAGGAAGUGGAGGUGAGACAGUUCAUAGUUAAUGGGGAAUGGGACAGUCACAAACUCAAACAGAUAUUAUCAUAUGAGAUGACAGAACAUAUACUGGAGAAUAUAAGCCUAAGGGUGAAGGAAGGAACAAGAGAUACACCAUGGUGGAUGGGUGAGACUUGUGGUGCUUUUACAGUUAAGUCUACUUAUGAGUGUAUGAGACACAAAAGAGAAAAACACUGGUGGUGGGGUAAAAUCUGGAGUAGGGGUGUGCCUUUUAAGAUCAAUUUUCUUCUGUGGAGGAGUUGGAAAGGAAAAAUAGCCACAGAAGAUAAUCUUAAGAAAAUGUGAAUUAGUAUGGCCUCCAGAUGUUAUUGUUGCAACAAGCCAACAACUAUGAUCAGGAGACAAUCCACCAUUUAUUUUUAACAGCUCCAAUAGCUACUAAUCUAUGGAGACAGUUUGCUAGUUGUGCAAGUAUAAAAUUAGAAGGAGGAUUACCACAGAUAGUCACUAAAUGGUGGACUGCAACAAAAAAUCCUAAGUUACGAACAAUAUAUCAAUUAAUACCAACAGUCCUGAUGUGGGAGCUAUGGAAAAGGAGGAAUGCCAGAAAACAUGGGAAGGAGGUGACUUUCGCAAGGCUAUACCAACAGUGUCAAAACAUGAUCUUUCAAGUAAUGAAGACUGUGUACCCAUGGGUAAGAGUCCCACGAAACUGGGAAGGAAUAGUAGAGGGAUUAAAAGAUUACAGGCCUAAGCUUUAUCACCAUGUCGUAACAUGCAAAAAAAACCACAAUUUGGAUGGAUAAAGUGCAAUAUAGAUGGAGCAAGCAAUGGGAACCCGGGGGAAAGUACAUACAGUUUUUGUGUGAGGAACAAGGAAGGGGACUUGGUAUAUGCUGAGGCUCAAAAUAUUGGAGAGGGCACGAGUAUGGAAGCUGAGAUCAAGGCUAUACACAGGGCUAUGAUAUUCUGCAAAAAUAAUAACUUCACAAGUGUUGUCUUUGAAACAGAUUCACUAAAUACAGCAAAAAUGAUAAGAAAGGAGUGGAGAGUCCCAUGGAAUUACAUAGAGGAAAUAGAGAACAUACAAGAGCUAGCAAAAUAUAUGAAUGUAAGUAUAAAUCAUGUUUUCAGAGAAGCUAAUCAGCUAGCAGACAAGAUAGCCAAUGAAGCAUACAAGCAGCAGGGCAAAAUGGAAAGGCAUAACUUUCAACAGCUACCCGUGGAAUGCAAAAAGAUACUGAAUGCAGAGAAAUCAGACAUACCCACGCUAAGGAUAAAGAAAAGGAAAAUCAAAGCGCAGAAUUGAUAUACAAGAGGAUGCAGCACAUCAAAUACAUUGUUUUCAGCAAAUCUCAAAACGAUUAAGUAUUUUCCAUCGAAGGGUGUACAUAGUUGUGAAUGAAAAUCUACCUAGUCUUGGCUAUGACAGCUCACAAAAAGUUCUCCAGCAGAAAGCGAGGGCCUCUAGGUCAGAUAGGCAACUCUUCAGCAACCAUCCCACCGGAUUGAUCUCUAUAGCAGAAAUGAAGGAAGUUAGGAGAGGAGAAGAGGAAGAAAAAAAACAUUACCUUUGCCAGAUGAGGAAGCACGAGGAGCAAGGGAAGGUAUUAAUGAUCCACAACAACAAGUAGAGGAAUAUCAGACUCCACAGAGCGACAUUGUGAGGAAGAACUGGAACACAAAUUUGGAAACCCGACUUGGGGGGAAUUGUAAUAGUCGGUUGAACAGGGCCUCUUUCCUUUUUGGGCCAGUCCUUUCUAGACUGCCCACGACUUGUAUCUAUUAUCUUAAUUAAUAAAAGGAGCUGGAGCUCCAUAUUGGAUUUUUUAAAAAAACCGAGAAAUUAUAAUAUAUAAAUUUUAUAAUUAUUUAUAUAUUAUUCAUAAAUAAAAUAUAAAUAUUUUGUUAAAUUUUAAUUAACCUAAGUCUUUAAAUUUAUCAUUUCUCAAGCCCAACACAUAAAUUUUAGUAUAUAAUGACUUUAGUAUUACUUAACUAAAUUACUCUGUUUGUUUUGUGUAAUAGUAACUCUAAUAUUGCUAGCUUAAUAGAAUCCACAAAAGCUUUUCUUUGUACUGAUCAUGUACUAGGUGUUUGUGUCUAUCAAGAUGUGUAUGCCCUCAACAAACUUAUUACUUUCAAAUCUAAAAAAUCAAAAAAUCCGAACCAAAUCGACAAUAAUCAAAUUGAUGGUUAUUUUUUGGUUUAGUUAGGUUUGGUUUAAGAAAUUUAAAAAUCAACUAAAUUGGUUUGGUUUUGGUUUUAACCAAUAACCGAUCCAAACCGAACCAUGAACACCCCUACUCCUAUGUAGAGUAUAAGUUAGGAGAUAGUAGGUAUCCAGCAGAAUAGGUCGAGGUCCGUCGACUUCAAAAAUCUAACUCAGAUAUUGCCAUUAGAAGGAAACACACACACAAAAAAUGAAAAAAUAAAUAAAUAGAGAUUCAAUAAAAAAAUUAUUUCCUUAAUUAUAUUUAAUCAAACAAAAAAAUUGAAAAUCAAAAUAAAUGAAAAAAUAGUUUACCCAAAAAUUGAGAAUACUUACGUCACAGACAGUUCACACUAUAUGACGUGUGGCAUCCACUUUAAUUUAUUAUAUUUUAUUCUUUCAUAUUUUGUACUAUCUUUUUAUAUUAUGCUUAAUGUCCUUGUUUUUUUUUUUCACUUUUCUCGUGCAUAGGUUAGCAAAACCUAAACCCAAAUAGCCCUAGAGAAAAAGUGGAAUCUGCUAAAAGAUAUCGCCUUCUUUCUUCAGUUUUUAAUUUCAGUGGGAAAAGAUGGAUGUUGAUGUGGCUACGGACAAACUCAGUAGGCUGCCUGUGCAGUCACUUGUAUGAUUCAAAUGUGUUUCAAAGUUAUGGAUGACAUUGAUUUCCGACCCUUACUUUAAGAUGAAGCAUCUUGUUGGAAUGUAUGCGUCCACUUAUCAGUCAAGGACCAGGUCCUUUGACUCAGCAAGAACAGUAACUAAAUAUAUGUGUCCACUUGUUUCGAUGGGACCAGGUCCUCAGCACAGUUACAAUAACAGACAGUAAAAUACGUGCUGAAAGUAAAGAUUAAACAAAUAACUUUACGUGGAAACCUCCUUGCUCAAGGGAGUAAAACCACGACCUGGCCUGCCAGGACUUUUCAAACUGCUUUCACUAAUCUUCUCCAAGCAAAAGUAAAAGCUAGUUUACAAAAUGAGAUUAGCCUGCUAAUCUCCACACUAAGUAAUACCUUCUAUCACUUAGCUGAGCCAGAGCAGAUACAACACUGCCCACUAAGCUAUCACCCCUAGAUAACUUAGACUUUUCUAAGCGGAUACCACACCGCCCACUAAACUAAUCCUAACAAAUCAAUAUAGACUUUAACCGUAAGACACAAAGUUACUCCUAACUAAGUUCUUACAAGACUCAAACAAAGUUUGAAACGUUUCUAACAACAAUGAAACGAAUCGUACAAGUUAAGCUCAAAUACAAACAAUCAAGAACAACAACAGAUACGGAAAGCUCUCCUUCAGUUGAUCAGGUCCUUGUUGUAUGUGUUCUUGUGCUUGAGUUCUUCCUUGAAGAUGGCUUUGUCUUUUUAAGCUUGUAAAUUUUUGUUUGUCAAAUCUUGAGUUUGUGUUUGUUGGAAAGAGAUCAUAUAUUAAAAUGAACACAAACUCCUUGGAACCGCCCAUUGGCUGAGAGCCUGCUGUUUAGAAAAGUUGUGCACCUACCACAUCAGAAGUGGCAGCUUUUCUGACAACUGUCUUGUCGUCCUUUCACAUCGCAGUCUUGCAGGGACCAGGUCCCUUGCAAACUUCUCUUAGUAAGUUCUUGAGAUUACGUGUUGGCUCUCUCCUUUUGAAUGAAUGAAUUAGUUUGUUGUUUUCCUUGGAUAUAUUUAGACAUGAAAAGUUAUUAUCCAAUGAACAAACAACCUCGUCGCUUCUGAUUGGUGGAGUACUCUACAAUUUCACCAACUCUCUGACGCGGACAGCUUUUACAGCUGUACAGCACUUUGACCACUGGACGAGUAUUUAUACUCUACAGAGGACCAGGUCUCUGCACGUGUGAGGAGAUCAUCAAAACAUCAAAGAACAUAACACAUCUCAAUAAUAUUGGGAAUGACGAAAAUUCCCAAAAAAUUAUUGUUAACCAAUGCUACUCUUAUACUGACAAGGUUUCCUUGUAUUGUUAUUCUUUACCGUCAGUUCAACAGGUUGAGCAAGUACAAAAACUUGAUUGUCCUUCUAAUAAUAAAUCAUGGUGUCACACAUUAUAUUGUUGUUGCGAUGGCUUGGUGCUUAUGGGGAUUUUUUAUUAUCCCGAUAAAUACUUACAACUUUUGCUAUUGAACCCCUCCACGAGAGAAUCAAUACUACUUCCCUUUCCGAAAAUUCUUCCAAAGGACAAUUGUACCUGGGGAUUGGGAUAUGACUCGACUAGUGAUGACUAUAAGAUCCUCAAGAUUGAUGACAAAUCACGCAGUGAAAUUCUCGUGUUGAAAAGUAUAAAUUAUCUACUCUUUCAGAAACCUUUAAAACCAAAAUAUUAUAUUGAUGGGAUUGAAUUAGUUUGAUAUAAAGUUAAAAUAAGCUUCUAAUCCCAGUAUAUUUAACCUUCAUAAUUAAGCUUUUCACUGUUCUUUGAUCAAUAUUAUAUUAAUGGGAUUGAAUUAGAUUAAUAUAAAAUCAAAGAAAAGAUUAAUUAGUCAAUCAUAUCUAGCUCUUCCCACACUGACUAGAAAGAGAGAUUAUAUGUAACAAGUUGCAUAUAAAAUAGCCUUGCGUAACACUUGAAAAUCAAACCUUUCUCGGCCUUUUGGCUAAGAUCAAGUGUAGUAUCUAUUCUUAUUAGUUUAUGUUAGUGAAAAAUUACAAGAUAAUAAAAUUACAAGAUUACAAUUGAAAAUAAAAAUGAAGAAAUAAAUCUCUUCAGGCUGAAGAACGGAUAUCUCACUCUCUUUAAGGAGAUUCAAGCCCACUGCAGCAAAUGUUUUCACCGGUCCAGCAGUAGUCCUCUUUCCCACAAAAAUAUCUUUCUUCACAAUUACAUAUUGAUCAGAUUCAAUAAACUAUUUAAAGCCUGCUUUAUUAAAAAGAAAAGUAGACAUCAAUUUUUUUCUCAUAGAAGGAGUAUAGAGUACAUCUUUCAAAGUUAAUACCCUUCUAAAAGUAAAACACAAUUCGACAUCUCCCGUUUCAAGCACUUGAGUUAUGUGAGAAUCACCAAGCAUGAUGGUUUUGGGCUCCUCAAAAUGAGUAUAUUUUUUAAACCAGUCUUUGUCAUAACAGANNNNNNNNNNNNNNNNNNNNNNNNUGAAGAUAAAUGGCCUUAGGAGUUACAUAGGUUACAAAGAAUAAUGGAGGAAUAAAGAAUGAGAUAAUGGAGAAAUAAUAUGGAGAAGUAAUGGCCAAGAUGCCACUACCGAUGCUGCAAGAAAUGGUCAUAACAUCAGCACUUACUCCGAAAGGAGUAAUGCUCCAAACAACUGCCCAACGGUUAAGACAAGAGAAUUAUCCACCAACGGACAACUUAGUGCUAGGUUAUUUUCACCAUUAUUUUUCUUGGGAGGUCUACUUUUAUUUUUCUUGAUUUUUUUUCUUCUUAGGCUUCAAAGAAGUAUUUUUGUGAGUUUAAUAUAUGAUAUGUGAGCCAUUGACUCACAUGAUAUUAACACUAUUUUAUUUGGGGUAAGGUACACCACAGUAGCUUGCUAUUGGGGCCUUGAGUGAAUCUUGGCCCUUUGCCUCUUCACCAUCGUACUUUUCCACUUUCUCAAGAUGAGAAAUAAGUUCAUAAUUAUCCAUGGAGGUGUCAUCAACUUUAUUAGGAUUCUUCUCAGUUAACACAUAAGAAACAUUGAGAAGACUUAAGUAGAAAAGUACUUUACCCUUCCAUCUUUUGAAAUGGUUACCAUUGAACCGAAAUGGCUUGUAAAAGGCUCCCAUCUUGACAUCCGCGGUUUUUUUUAAUUGUAGUCUUUCUGAAUUCUCCUUAAAAAUUGGAAGUGAAAAAUUACAAGAUUACAAUUGAAAAUAAAAAUGAAGAAAUAAAUCUCUUCAGGCCCCUUGACCAUCACAAAGACGUUUUCCUAUGUACUAAACACAUCCGAAGAGUUUGCUUAGAUCGGAGGGUCCUUUGGAAACCCAGUGCAACAAAUGUUGUCAUCGGUCCAGCAGUAGUCCUCUUGACUUGUCCCCUCCAGGAUACAACAGUCUUCACAAAGUAUAACUCAACAAGUGAGCAAAUACCAAACAAGAUCAUAGGCAUAUGAGAGAUAAAUAGAACAAAACUAACCAUAAGAAAACACAUAUCAAAGUAAAAUAUUUGCCUUGCUUGGCACACCCGCACCAAUUUAAUUUUAGAUUUUUCUUCGGAUAAUAACCACCACUACUUAUACUAGAAGAAGUCUUCCUAGCAAUGAAUAGUUUUGAAAAAAUUCAAAAUAUGACGAGGUAGAUUUUAACUUGGAGUCUUUAAUUAUUACUUGGAUCCUACUAAUGAACGUUAGAUUAAUUAACAUCCUUAUUUUAAGAGUGAAAUAAAAUUACAUUUUUUUGAUAUGGAGAAGUAAUGGCCUAAAUGCCACUACCGAUGCUGCAAGAAAUGGUCAUAACAUCAGCACUUACUCCGAAUGGAGUAAUGCUCCAAAUAACUGCCCAACGGUUAAGACAAGAGAAUUAUCCACCAACGGACAACUUACAGCAAAUGCAAUACUUUGACUCCAAACAUUUCAAGCAAAUUAUGAUACAAAAAUAUUGAUAUUAAAAUGCUGACCAACAGUUUAAUAUAUAAUAUGUGAGCCAUUGACUCACAUGAUAUUAACUCUAUUUUUUUAGGGGUAAGGUACACCACAGUAGCUUGCUAUUGGGGCCUUCAAGAAUUGCCUUGGCGUUGCACUAUAACAUUGGCCUGGCGCACCCUACCAAUUCUAGUUCUAAGCUUCUUUUUUGAAAUUCUAUAUUUAUUUGGUGUUAGAGUUUCGUACAAGGCACGUUUAUUAUAUCUUCCCCACUCAACCCCCUACCCUUGACUAUCACAAACAUGUUUUCCUUUGUACCAAACACAUCCGAGGAAACAAUCUUUGUAUUACACCUUUGUACCAAACACCUUUGAACGUCUUUGUACCCAGGCACGUUCAUUAUAUCUUCCCCACUCAACACCUCAACCCCCUACCCUUGACCAUCACAAAGACGUUUUCCUAUGUACUAAACACAUCCGAAGAGUUUGCUUAGAUCGGAGGGUCCUUUGGAAACAAUCUUUGUACUACAAAAUAUUAAUCUUUACCCUUGUGAGCAAAUACCAAACAAGAUCAUAGGCAUAUGAGAAAUAAAAUAGAACAAAACUAACCAUAAGAAAACGCAUAUCAAGGUAAAAAUUUUGGCUUGCUUGGCACACCCGCACCAAUUUAAUUUUAGAUUUUUCUUCGGAUAAUUGUUAUUUAAUUAUUAUUCUAAUAUUUAGGAUUUUGAAAUUUUGAAAAAAUUCAAAAUAUGACGAGGUAGAUUUUAACUUGGAGUCUUUAAUUAUUACUUGGAUCCUACUAAUGAACGUUAGAUUAAUUAACAUCCUUAUUUUAAGAGUGAAAUAAAAUUACAUUUUUUUCACUUUAGCAAAACCCUACCUAGAGAAAAGUGGAAGCUGCAAAGACGACACAAAAAACAACUUCUUUCAAAGGUAUCUCUCUAAAUAUUCACCUUUUACUAUCUCGAUUAUUUUGCCGAAUACCUUUUGACGGAUUUUAUAUAUAUGUAUAUAUUAUACAACUGGAGGCUAUUUUUAAUUUAAGUUGAUGAGUUGUUUAGGCUAAAUCUUCAAUUUUAAAUUUCAGGGGAAAAUAGUUGUGAAACAUUCAAAUUAAAGAAAACAAAAAAGAUGGAUGUUGAUGUGGAUAUCGAAGUCCUCAACAGGCUACCUGUGCGGUCACUUCUACGAUUCAAAUGUGUUUCAAAGUUAUGGAUGACGUUGAUUUCCGACCCUAACUUUAAGAUGAAGCAUCUCAAUCAUGCCAAGAAUGACGAAAAUUCCCAAAAAAUCCUUGUUAACCAACAGUACCCUUAUAUUGAGGAAUUUUCCUUGUAUUGUUCUUCUUUAUCGUCAGUUCAACAGGUUGAGCAUCCACACAAAUUUGAUUGUCCUUCUCACAUUAAAUCAUGGCAUCACACAUUAUAUUGUUGUUACCAUGGCUUGGCUCUUCCUUGACCAUCACAAAGAGGUUUUCCUAUGUACCAAACACACCCGAAGAGUUUGCUUAGAUCGGAGGGUCCUUUGGAAACAAUCUUUGUACUACAAAAUAUUAAUCUUUACCCUUAUGAGCAAAUACCAAACAAGAUCAUAGGCAUAUGAGAAAUAAAAUAGAACAAAACUAACCAUAAGAAAACGCAUAUCAAGGUAAAAAUUUUGGCUUGCUUGGCACACCCGCACCAAUUUAAUUUUAGAUUUUUCUUCGGAUAAUUGUUAUUUAAUUAUUAUUCUAAUAUUUAGGAUUUUGAAAAUUCAAAAAAAUUCAAAAUAUGACGAGGUAGAUUUUAACUUGGAGUCUUUAAAUAUUACUUGGAUCCUACUAAUGAACGUUAGAUUAAUUAAUAUCCUUAUUUUAAGAGUGAAAUAAAAUUACAUUUUUUUCACUUUAGCAAAACCCUACCUAGAGAAAAGUGGAAGCUGCAAAGACGACACAAAAAACAACUUCUUUCAGAGGUAUCUCUCUAAAUAUUCACCUUUUACUAUCUCGAUUAUUUUGCCGAAUACCUUUUGACGGAUUUUAUAUAUAUGUAUAUAUUAUACAACUGGAGGCUAUUUUUAAUUUAAGUUGAUGAGUUGUUUAGGCUAAAUCUUCAAUUUUAAAUUUCAGGGGAAAAUAGUUGUGAAACAUUCAAAUUAAAGAAAACAAAAAAGAUGGAUGUUGAUGUGGAUAUCGAAGUCCUCAACAGGCUACCUGUGCGGUCACUUCUACGAUUCAAAUGUGUUUCAAAGUUAUGGAUGACGUUGAUUUCCGACCCUAACUUUAAGAUGAAGCAUCUCAAUCAUGCCAAGAAUGACGAAAAUUCCCAAAAAAUCCUUGUUAACCAACAGUACCCUUAUAUUGAGGAAUUUUCCUUGUAUUGUUCUUCUUUAUCGUCAGUUCAACAGGUUGAGCAUCCACACAAAUUUGAUUGUCCUUCUAACAUUAAAUCAUGGCAUCACACAUUAUAUUGUUGUUACCAUGGCUUGGCUCUUAUAGGGUUUUAUAACUAUAAACUAGACUUCCUACCUUUGCUAUGGAACCCUUCCACAAGAGAAUCAAUAGUCCUCCCCCCUCCGAAAAUUCUUCCAAAUGACUAUUGUACGUGGGGAUUGGGAUAUGACUCAGCUAGUGAUGACUAUAUGAUCCUUAAGAUUGAUGAAAAAUCACGUAGUGAAAGUCUCGCGUUGAAAAGUGGUUCCUGGAGAUUAAUGGAUAAACAUCCUAUUUGUGACGUUCACCCUAUGCUUACGUCUACCGACUCUUUGGUAUUUGUCCACGGAGCAUUUCAUUGGCUUAUUAAUUCCUUAAGGAAAUAUUAUGUGGUGUCAUUUGGUAUUUCAGACGAGGUGUAUAGAGAGAUACCCUUGCCAGAGCAAAUAUACUUGAAAAAGUUUCGGGAACCGGGUGUUUCAGUAUUGGGAGGAAUGCUUUGUGCUUAUUCUCAUUACGUAUCUCGUAUAGAGGAUGUUUUUAUGUUUUGGGUAAUGAAAGACUAUGUCAGUGAGUCUUGGACUGAAUUGUAUACUAUACAAGGUACCGAUCUUAAAUCAGCCAUACCAAAAUAUAUGUUUUCAGAUGGAGAAGUGCUACUGUGUUGCAGACAUUUGCGUCGUUGUUAUUAUGAAUUUAGGCCAUCUAAAGGACCGUUUGGAGUAUGGCCUCAAUCUAAUGUCAUUCUGAAAGGAGUUUAAGUUGACGAGUUGUUUAGGUUAAAUCUUCAAUUUUAAAUUUCAGGGGAAAAUAGUUGUGAAACAUUCAAAUUAAAGAAAACAAAAAUGAUGGAUGUUGAUGUGGAUACCGAAGUCCUCAACAGGCUACCUGUGCGGUCACUUCUACGAUUCAAAUGUGUUUCAAAGUUAUGGAUGACGUUGAUUUCCGACUGAUCAAGUUACUUUUUCUUUUUAAGGUAAUAAUAUUGUUACAACAUCAUUUGUGUUAGUAUUCUUUUGCUUGUAAAUAUCGAAUGAGACUCAUCUUAUGCACUCGAACAACACAAUACAAAUAGUAAACGAAGAAAGAAAGAAGUCAGUUAAGACCAAGCGAACGCUUAGUUAAAAAAAUGGAUAGUAUAAGGGUUAACCAAAAACAGAGAGGAACAGAGUUUAAAGCAGAAACGCAACCAUCAAGUCUAGUAUCUGUUCUUGAUUCAACGACUCACACACACGAUAUUAGCUCUAUAUUUUGAGGGUGGAGGUCCAUCAGGGUAGCUUGCUAUCGGGGACUUCAAAUUUCUGAAAAUUCAACUUCAAGUUGAAAAAAGUUUUAAAACAAAAUUCAUGGCCUUUUAACGUAAUAUCCCCCCCCCCCCCCCCCACAAUCACGCAGUGAAAGUCUCGCGUUGAAAAGUGGUUCCUGGAGAUUAAUGGAUAAACAUCCUAUUCGUGACGUUCACCCUAUGCUUACGUCUACCGACUCUUUGGUAUUUGUCCACGGAGCAUUUCAUUGGCUUAUUAAUUCCUUAAGGAAAUAUUAUGUGAUGCCAUUUGGUAUUUCAGACGAGGUGUAUAGAGAGAUACCCUUGCUAGAGCAAAUAUACUUGAAAAAGUUUCGGGAACCGGUGUUUCAGUAUUGGGAGGAAUGCUUUGUGCUUAUUCUCAUUACGUGUCUCGUAUAGAGGACGUUUUUAUGUUUUGGGUAAUGAAAGACUAUGUCAGUGAGUCUUGGACUGAAUUGUACACUAUACAAGGUACCGAUCUUAAAUCAGCCAUACCGAAAUAUAUGUUUUCAGAUGGAGAAGUGCUACUGUGUUGCAGACAUUUGCGUCAUUGUUAUUAUGAAUUUAGGACAUCUAAAGGACCGUUUGGAGUAUGGCCUCCAUCUAAUGUCAUUCUGAAAGGAUUCGUUUAUACAGAAAGUUUGAUCUUUCCAAAUUUAAUUAGUUAGGACUUAGGAGUAUUUGCCUAUGUACGAUCAAGUUACUUUUUCUUUUUAAGGUAAUAAUAUUGUUACAACCUCAUUUGUGUUAGUAUUCUUUUGCUUCUAAAUAUCGAAUGAGACUCAUCUUAUGCACUCGAACAACACAAUACAAAUAGUAAACGAAGAAAGAAAGAAGUCAGUUAAGACCAAGCGAACGCUUAGUUAAAAAAAUGGAUAGUAUAAGGGUUAACCAAAAACAGAGAGGAACAGAGUUUAAAGCAGAAACGCAACCAUCAAGUCUAGUAUCUGUUCUUGAUUCAAUGACUCACACACACGAUAUUAGCUCUAUAUUUUGAGGGUGGAGGUCCAUCAGGGUAGCUUGCUAUCGGGGACUUCAAAUUUCUGAAAAUUCAACUUCAAGUUGAAAAAAGUUUUAAAACAAAAUUCAUGGCCUUUUAACGUAAUAUCCCCCCCCCCCCCCCCCACCCUAUUUGUGACGUUCACCCUAUGCUUACGUCUACCGACUCUUUGGUAUUUGUCCACGGAGCAUUUCAUUGGCUUAUUAAUUCCUUAAGGAAAUAUUAUGUGGUGUCAUUUGGUAUUUCAGACGAGGUGUAUAGAGAGAUACCCUUGCCAGAGCAAAUAUACUUGAAAAAGUUUCGGGAACCGGGUGUUUCAGUAUUGGGAGGAAUGCUCUGUGCUUAUUCUCAUUAUGUGUCUAAUACGGAGAUCAUUUUUAAAUUUUGGGUAAUGAAAGACUGUCAACGAAUCUUGGACUGAAUUGUUUAGUAUACAAGGUACCGAUCUUCAAUCAGCCAUACCAAAAUAUACGGAAAUAAUUUUUGCUAGGGUUCUUUCUAAUAUUUUGUAUUAAAUCUUCAAUUUUUAAUUUUAGUGGAAAAGAGUUGCAAAACAUUCCAGAAGUGCUACUGUGUUACGGACAUUUACAUCGCUGUACUUAUGUAUUUAAGACAUCCAAAGGACCGGUUGGAGUAUGGCCUCAAUCUAAUGUCAUUCUGAAAGGAUUCGUUUAUACAGAAAGUUUGAUCUUUCCAAAUUUAAUUAGUUAGGACUUAGGAGUAUUUGCCUAUGUAUGAUCAAGUUACUUUUUCUUUUUAAGGUAAUAAUAUUGUUACAACAUCAUUUGUGUUAGUAUUCUUUUGCUUCUAAAUAUCGAAUGAUGGUAGUUCCCAAAAAAUUCUUGUUCACAUAUGGUACCCUAGAUAUGAUGAUUUUUCCUUGUAUUGUUCUUCUUUAUCGUCAGUUCAACAAUUUCUACAUAUUUUUCUACUUUUGAUAUGAUACGUUAUUUCCUUGCUUAAUUUUAUAUUUAAAAAACAAAAAAAAAUCAAAAUCAAAAUAAAAGAAAAAAUAAUUUACCAAAAAAUUGAGAAUACUUACUUCACAGUUCACAUUAUAUGAAGUGUGACGUCCAUAUUAAUUUAUUAUUUUUUAUCUUUUUAUAUUAUGCCUCUUCUUUUUUUCACUUUUGUGGUGCAGUAGGUUAACAAAAACCUAAAGUCAAAUAAUCCUAGAGAAAAAUUGAAAGCUGCUAAGAGGAUACAAAAGAGGUAUCCACUUCUUUCUUCAAUUUUUAAUUUCAGAGGUAAAAGAUGGAUCGACGUUCACCCCAUGCUUGAAAAGUGGUUCCUGGAGAUUACUUGAUAAGCAUCCUAUUGACGUUCACCCUAUGCUUAUGUCUACCGACUCUUUGGUAUUUGUCCAUGGGGCAUUUCAUUGGCUUAUUAGUUCGUUAACGAAAUAUUCUGUGAUGUCAUUUAGUAUUUCAGACGAGGUGUAUAAAGAGAUACCAUUGCCAGAGCAACUGUACUCGAAUUUCUCCAGGUUGUUUGGAAGGGGUGUUUCAGUAUUGGGAGGAAUGCUCUGUGCUUAUUCUCAUUAUGCGUCUAAUACGGAGAACAUUUUUAAAUUUUGGGUAAUGAAAGACUAUGUCAACGAAUCUUGGACUGAAUUGUUUAGUAUACAAAGUACCGAUCUUCAAUCAGCCAUACCAAAAUAUAUGUUUUCGGAUGGAGAAGUGCUACUGUGUUGCGGUCAUUUACAUAGCUGUACUUAUGUAUUUAAGACAUCCAAAGGACCGGUUGGAGUAUGGCCUCAAUCUAAUGUCAUUCUGAAAGGAUUCGUUUAUACAGAAAGCUUGAUGUUCCCAAAAUUAAUUAGUUAGGAGUAUUUGCCUAUGUAUGAUGGAGUUAUUUUUCAUUUCAAGGUAAUCUAGUUACAUCCUCAUUUGUGUUUCAUUUUAGUAGUCUGCUUUUGCUUGUAAAUAUCGAAUUGUUUUGAAUAUUUAAACGAUAUGAGAAAAAGAUUUACCUUUAGAAAAAUUUGCUACAUAUUUUUCUACAUUUGAUAUGAUUCGUUAUUUCCUUGCUUGAUUUUAUAUUUAAAAACAAAAAAAAAUCAAAAUCAACAAAAUAAAAGAAAAAAUAGUUCACCAAAAAAUUGAGAAUACUUACUUCACAGUUCACAUUAUAUGAAGUGUGACGUCCAUAUUAAUUUAUUAUUUUUUAUCUUUUUAUAUUAUGCUUUUUUUUUCACUUUUGUGGUGCAGUAGGUUAACAAAAACCUAAAGUCAAAUAACCCUAGAGAAAAAUUGAAAGCUGCUAAGAGGAUACAAAAGAGGUAUCCACUUCUUUCUUCAAUUUUUAAUUUCAGAGGUAAAAGAUGGAUGUUGAUGUGGCUACGGACAUUCUCAGUAGGCUACCGGCCUACCUGAGCGGUCAUUUCUACGAUUUAAAUGUGUUUCAAAAUUUUGGAUGACAUUGAUUUCUAAGCCUUACUUUCAGAUAAAGCAUCUCAAUCAUGGGAAUGAUGAAAAUUCCCAAACAAUCCUUGUUAACCAAUGGUACUCUCCAAAUGAGAAUUUUUCCUUACAUUGUUCUUCUUUAUCGUCAGUUCAACAGGUUGAGCAACUACACAAACUUGAUUGUCCUUCUAACAGUAAAUUAUAUUGUUGUUUCCAUGGUUUGGCCCUUAUAGGGUUUUAUAAGUAUAAAGUAGACUUCCUACUUUUGUUAUGGAACCCCACCACAAGAGAAUCAAUAGUCCUAUCCCGUCCGGAAAUUUUUCCAAGGGACUAUUGUACUUGGGAUUGGGAUAUGACUCAACUAGUGAUGACUAUAACAUCCUUAAGAUUGAUAACAAAUCAUGCAGUGAAAUUCUCGCAUUGAAAAGUGGUUCCUGGAGAAUAAUGGAUAAACAUCCUAUUGACGUUCAACCUAGGCUCACAUCUACUGACUGUUUGGUAUUUGUCCAUGGGGCAUUUCAUUGGCUUAUUAGUUCGUUAAAGAAAUAUUAUGUGAUGUCAUUUAGCAUUUCAAAUGAGGUGUACAGAGAAAUAUUGUUGCCAGAGCAACUCUACUCAAAUUUCUCCAAGUUGUGGGGAUGAGGUGUUUCAGAAUUGGGAGGAAUGCUAUGUGCUUAUUCUCAUUGUGUGUCUAGUACAGAGGACGUUUUUAAGUUUUGGGUAAUGAAAGACUAUGUCAACGAAUCUUGGACUGAAUUGUUUACUAUACAAGGUAUCGAUCUUCAAUCAGCCAUACCAAAUUAUAUGUUUUCGGAUGGAGAAGUGCUACUCUGUUGCAGAUGUUUGAAUUGUCGUUUUUAUGUCUUUAGGACGUCCAAAGGAUUAUGGCCUCAAUCUGAUGUCAUUCAGAAAGAAUUCGUUUAUACAGAAAGUUUGAUCUUCCCAAAAUUAAUUAGUUAGUAUUUGAGCGGUCAUUUCUACGAUUUAAAUGUGUUUCAAAAUUUUGGAUGACAUUGAUUUCUAAGCCUUACUUUCAGAUAAAGCAUCUCAAUCAUGGGAAUGAUGAAAAUUCCCAAACAAUCCUUGUUAACCAAUGGUACUCUCCAAAUGAGAAUUUUUCCUUACAUUGUUCUUCUUUAUCGUCAGUUCAACAGGUUGAGCAACUACACAAACUUGAUUGUCCUUCUAACAGUAAAUUAUAUUUCAAAACCUAAACCCAAAUAACCCUAGAGAAAAAGUGGAAUCUGCUAAAAGGUAUCGCCUUCUUUCUUCAGUUUUUAAUUUCAGUGCUAUGAAACCCCACCACAAGAGAAUCAAUAGUCCUAUCCCGUCCGGAAAUUUUUCCAAGGGACUAUUGUACUUGGGAUUGGGAUAUGACUCAACUAGUGAUGACUAUAACAUCCUUAAGAUUGAUAACAAAUCAUGCAGUGAAAUUCUCGCAUUGAAAAGUGGUUCCUGGAGAAUAAUGGAUAAACAUCCUAUUGACGUUCAACCUAGGCUCACAUCUACUGACUGUUUGGUAUUUGUCCAUGGGGCAUUUCAUUGGCUUAUUAGUUCGUUAAAGAAAUAUUAUGUGAUGUCAUUUAGCAUUUCAAAUGAGGUGUACAGAGAAAUAUUGUUGCCAGAGCAACUCUACUCAAAUUUCUCCAAGUUGUGGGGAUGAGGUGUUUCAGAAUUGGGAGGAAUGCUAUGUGCUUAUUCUCAUUGUGUGUCUGGUACAGAGGACGUUUUUAAGUUUUGGGUAAUGAAAGACUAUGUCAACGAAUCUUGGACUGAAUUGUUUACUAUACAAGGUAUCGAUCUUCAAUCAGCCAUACCAAAUUAUAUGUUUUCGGAUGGAGAAGUGCUACUCUGUUGCAGAUGUUUGAAUUGUCGUUUUUAUGUCUUUAGGACGUCCAAAGGAUUAUGGCCUCAAUCUGAUGUCAUUCAGAAAGAAUUCGUUUAUACAGAAAGUUUGAUCUUCCCAAAAUUAAUUAGUUAGUAUUUGCUUAUGUAUGAUGGAGUUGCACUACCUCAUUGACAUAGUGCAACCCACCAAUUCUAGUCCUAUGCAUUUUUGCAUAAAUUUACUCUUUGAUUAGAUCUCAUGAUUCUUCAUUUUAAAAUCUCUGGAAGUUAUAGUAUUUAGAUUUGCAUUUAGAAUAUUAAUCAUCAUAUUGAAGAGCAUUAUUUCAUUAAUAUUAUCUUUAACUAUAAUCACGCGUUGCCUUGGUGUUGCACUACUAGAGGUGAUUAAUUGUUGGGGAUAGAUAGACAGGUAAAAUAAGUAAAUAACAAUAGCAUUCCAAAAACUUUAAUUAAUGGAGAGACCUCAAUCAUCCUACUACUAGGCGGUUACAUUUUACAUGCUUUCGAUAUUAAAGAAAAUAUUUUUUCUUGUUUUGUGUCUUAUUUUGGAGGUUAUAAACCUUAGGAAUAGGUUGAGGCUUGAGCAUCUCCACCAUCAACUAGUAGGUUGAGGGUUUGAGUCAUGUUGGAGGGACUAGUUGAAGGUUUGAGUCAUGUUGGAGGGACUAGUUGAAGGUUCGAGUCAUGUUGGAGGGUAAGUAACAACUGAAGGAGGUUCAUAUGAAUCCCUUAAGGCCUACCUGGCUCCACCCUUAGCGAGGACGUUUUUAAGUUUUGGGUAAUGAAAGACUAUGUCAACGAAUCUUGGACUGAAUUGUUUAGUAUACAAGGUACCGAUCUUCAAUCAGCCAUACCAAAAUAUAUGUUUUCGGAUGCAUCAACUACACUAUAAAUGCAUAGACACAAAAAGGGUAAAGCAAAAAAGGUUAAAUAGAGAAGAAAGUCCUUUGAGGAAUCAAAGUCUAGCCCUCCCCUCUUAUGUAGGGCUGUUCAUGGCUAUGGUUAAAAAAAUAAAUCGAUCUGCAAUUCGAAUCAAAUCGAUUAAAAUAUCUGAUAUUUAAUUUGGUUUGACUAGGUAUAACAAGGUACUAAUUAUACAUCAAACUAAUGUAGACAUUAUUUUCUCCAAUACACUCUACCAAACGACCCCUUAUUACUUUCAAAUCUAAAAAAUAAAAAAAUUCGAACCAAACCGACAAUAACCAAACUGAUGGUUAUUUUUUUGGUUUAGUUAGGUUUGGUUUAAGAAAUUUAAAAAUCGACUAAAUUAAUUUGAUUUUGGUUUUAACCAAUAACAGAUCUAAACCGAACCAUAAACACCCUACUCCUAAGUAGAGUAUAAGUUAGGAGAUAGUAGGUAUAGGUCGAGGUACGUCGACUUCAAAAAUCUAACUCAGAUAUUGCCAUUACAAGGAAAACACACACACAAAAAGAAAAAAAAUUAAAUUUAGAUUCAAUAAAAAAAAUUAUUUCCUUAAUUUUAUAUUUAAUCAAACAAAAAAAUUGAAAAUCAAAAUAAAUGAAAAAAUAGUUUACCCAAAAAUUGAGAAUAUUUACUUCACAGACAGUUCACACUAUAUGACGUGUGACAUCCACAUUAAUUUAUUAUUUUUUGUUCUUUUAUAUUUUGUACUAUCUUUUUAUAUUAUGCUUAAUUUCCUUGUUUUGUUUUUUUUUCACUUUUCUCGUGCAUAGGUUAGCAAAACCUAAACCCAAAUAGCCCUAGAGAAAAAGUGGAAGGUAUCGCCUUCUUUCUUCAGUUUUUAAUUUCAGUGGGAAAAGAUGGAUGUUGAUGUGGCUACGGAUAUCCUCAGUAGGCUACCUGUGCGGUCACUUCUACGAUUCAAAUGUGUUUCAAAGUUAUGGAUGACAUUGAUUUAUGACCCUUACUUUAAGAUGAAGCAUCUCAAUAAUACCAGGAAUGACGAAAAUUCCCAAAAAAUUCUUGUUAACCAAUGCUACUCUUAUACUGACAAGGUUUCCUUGUAUUGUUAUUCUUUAUCGUCAAUUCAACAGGUUGAGCAAGUACAAAAACUUGAUUGUCCUUCUAAUAAUAAAUCAUUGUGUCACACAUUAUAUUGUUGUUACGAUGGUUUGGUGCUUAUGGGGAUUUUUUAUUAUCCUGAUAAAUACUUACAACUUUUGCUAUUGAACCCCUCCACAAGAGAAUCAAUACUACUUCCCUUUCCGAAAAUUCUUCCAAAGGACAAUUGUACCUGGGGAUUGGGAUAUGACUCGACUAGUGAUGACUAUAAGAUUCUUAAGAUUGAUGACAAAUCACACAGUGAAAUUCUCGCGUUGAAAAGUGGUUCUUGGAGAUUAACGAAUAAACAUCCUAUUGAUGAAUUCGCCCUAUGCUUACAUCUACAGACUCUUUGGCAUUUGUACAUGGGGCAUUUCAUUGGCUUAUUAGUUCGUUAACAAAAUAUUAUGUGAUGUCAUUUAGUAUUUCUGACGAGGUGUACAGAGAUAUACCAUUGCCAGAGAAAAUGUACUCGAAUUUCUCAAAAUUUUGUGGACGGGGUGUUUCAAUAUUGGGAGGAAUGCUUUGUGCUUAUUCUCAUUGUGUGUCUGAUUGGAAGGACAUGUUUAAAUUUUGGGUCAUGAAAGACUAUGUCAACGCAUCUUGGACUGAAUUGUUUACUAUACGAGGUCUCGAUCUUCAAUCAGCCAUACCAAAAUAUAUGUUUCCGGAUGGAAAAGUGUUACUGAGUUGCAGAAAUUUGUUUGGUUGUUCUUAUGUCUUUAGGACAUCCAAUGGACUAUUUGGAUUAUGGCCUCGAUCUGAUGUCGUUCAGCAAGGAUUCGUUUAUACAGAAAGUUUGAUCUUCCCGAAAUUAAUUAGUUAGUAUUUGCUUAUGUAUGAUGGAGUCGUUAUCUUGUUAUAACCUCUUUGGUGUUUUCUUCUUCUGUAUCAAAUCUGAGUAUUAUGUUGCAUCAUUUUGUUUAUAAGCCUGGUGAUCAACGAAAAUUAAUUAUUAAGGAGAUGGACCGAUAAAACAAAAAAGAAAGGCUCAGAUGCGCGAUUUUGUCGUCUGAUUUCAGACAUGGAGAGACCCGGGUCUGUACAGUGACAGGGUACUAUUCUACCACUAGACCAC
This 23022-nucleotide long non-coding RNA is filed under the name Solanum tuberosum (potato). RNAcentral's name for it is "long non-coding RNA (STUB_LNC006998)". The stretch from base 9032 to 9130 matches the Rfam family "U2 spliceosomal RNA". Lineage: Eukaryota; Viridiplantae; Streptophyta; Magnoliopsida; Solanales; Solanaceae. The record is from RNAcentral.